Molecule: long non-coding RNA, 390 nt
Filed under: Capsicum annuum
Lineage: Eukaryota; Viridiplantae; Streptophyta; Magnoliopsida; Solanales; Solanaceae
Description: long non-coding RNA (CANN_LNC011846)
Source: RNAcentral
AUAAAUCCAAACUGGUUUUUCGAAAUAGACACUAUCCGUCUCAGCCUCACCUCGACCACUCUCUCCCAAAUCUUCAUAGAGUGACUCAAUAACUUAAUCCCCCUAUAGUUAUUGCAACUCUGGAUGUCACCCUUAUUCUUAUAGAGAGGGAUCAUGGUACUCCACCUCCAAGCCUCGGGCAUCUUUGCCGUCUUGAAGAUUUCAUUAAACAAUCCAGUCAACCACCUUACACUAGCCUCUUCAACGAACUUCCAAAACUCCAUCGGUAUCUCGUCCAGCCCCGUCGCCCUACCCCUUCGCAUCCUGCGAACAGCCUCUCUAACCUCUUCUACCUUAAAACGUCUACAGUAGCUAAAAUCCCGACACUCCUCUGAGUGCUCCAGUUCCCCU